This 451-nucleotide ribosomal RNA is filed under the name uncultured organism. RNAcentral's name for it is "partial 16S ribosomal RNA". It matches the Rfam family "Bacterial small subunit ribosomal RNA", at positions 329 to 797 of the family's 1533-position model. The record is from RNAcentral.
ACGUACACUCCUGCGGGAGGCAGCAGUGGGGAAUAUUGGACAAUGGGCGCAAGCCUGAUCCAGCCAUGCCGCGUGAGUGAUGAAGGCCCUAGGGUUGUAAAGCUCUUUCACCGGUGAAGAUAAUGACGGUAACCGCAGAAGAAGCCCCGGCUAACUUCGUGCCAGCAGCCGCGGUAAUACGAAGGGGGCUAGCGUUGUUCGGAUUUACUGGGCGUAAAGCGCACGUAGGCGGACUAUUAAGUCAGGGGUGAAAUCCCGGGGCUCAACCCCGGAACUGCCUUUGAUACUGGUAGUCUUGAGUUCGAGAGAGGUGAGAGGAAUUCCGAGUGUAGAGGGGAAAUUCGUAGAUAUUCGGAGGAACACCAGUGGCGAAGGCGGCUCACUGGCUCGAUACUGACGCUGAGGUGCGAAAGCGUGGGGAGCAAACAGGAUUAGAUACCCGUGUAGUCCC